AAGACGGCACAGUGAUGCUGAAACGUUGGCAGCCUGGGAAAGAACUGAAAAAACUCACUAAAGAGUCAAGACAGAGACACCAGAAAGACCCAAGAAGACUUGGACGCAGCAUCAGAGGACAGAGAGGGAUGUUCAGAACUCACUCAGUCUGGUUAGAAGAGAAUGACUCCUCAACCCAAGAGGCCCUGGAGCAGCUGUGAGAGAGCAGCAGUGUGGAAACAUUUGGGGAAAUUUAAGGAAGGUUUCCUGGUAAAGAGGAUUGACUGUUACGUAAAGGGUCAGAGCCACUGAGUGGACAAAAUAUUAAGGAUACCUUCCUAAUACUGAGUUACGCCUGGUCAGUUUGUCAUGGAAAGAAAGGUGUCCUUAAUGUUUUGUGUAAAUUACAUAAUAACUAUACAUUUAUGGAUUGAUUUAUAUAGCCUAUUGUUUUCUAUUUAUUCAACCUGCCAUCUACCCACCUGGGGACUGAGGGUUAUGAGAGAACCCCCACAUCACUAGCUUCUCUUUAUUCAACCUGCCAUCUACCCACCUGGGGACUGAGGGUUAUGAGAGAACCCCCAC
Molecule: long non-coding RNA, 564 nt
Filed under: Salmo salar (Atlantic salmon)
Lineage: Eukaryota; Metazoa; Chordata; Actinopteri; Salmoniformes; Salmonidae
Description: lncRNA (ENSSSAG00000114729.1)
Source: RNAcentral